AACGAACGCUGGCGGCAUGCCUAACACAUGCAAGUCGAACGAGACCUUCGGGUCUAGUGGCGCACGGGUGCGUAACGCGUGGGAACCUGCCCUUAGGUUCGGAAUAACUCCCCGAAAGGGGUGCUAAUACCGGAUAAUGUCUUCGGACCAAUGAUUUAUCGCCUUUGGAUGGGCCCGCGUUGGAUUAGCUAGUUGGUAGGGUAAAAGCCUACCAAGGCGACGAUCCAUAGCUGGUCUGCGAGGAUGAUCAGCCACACUGGGACUGAGACACGGCCCAGACUCCUACGGGAGGCAGCAGUGGGGAAUAUUGGACAAUGGGCGAGAGCCUGAUCCAGCAAUGCCGCGUGAGUGAUGAAGGCCUUAGGGUUGUAAAGCUCUUUUACCCGGGAUGAUAAUGACAGUACCGGGAGAAUAAGCUCCGGCAAACUCCGU
RNAcentral lists this ribosomal RNA (432 nucleotides) under uncultured bacterium. Its description in RNAcentral is "partial 16S ribosomal RNA". It matches the Rfam family "Bacterial small subunit ribosomal RNA", at positions 29 to 506 of the family's 1533-position model. The record is from RNAcentral.